CUGGCUCAGGAUGAACGCUGGCGGCGUGCUUAACACAUGCAAGUCGAACGAAGCACUGAAGAAUGGAGAUUCGUCAAAGUUCUUCUUGACUGAGUGGCGAACGGGUGGGUAAUGCGUGAGCAACCUGCCCUUCAGAGGGGGACAACAGUUGGAAACGACUGCUAAUACCGCAUGAUGUGUUCGGAUGGCAUCAUCUGAAAUACCAAAGGAGAAAUCCGCUGAGGGAUGGGCUCACGUCUGAUUAGCUAGAUGGCAGGGUAACGGCCUACCAUGGCGACGAUCAGUAGCCGGACUGAGAGGUUGAACGGCCACAUUGGGACUGAGAUACGGCCCAGACUCCUACGGGAGGCAGCAGUGGGGAAUAUUGGGCAAUGGGCGAAAGCCUGACCCAGCAACGCCGCGUGAAGGAAGAAGGCCUUCGGGUUGUAAACUUCUUUUAACAGGGACGAAGAAGUGACGGUACCUGUUGAAUAAGCCACGGCUAACUACGUGCCAGCCGCUGC
This 503-nucleotide ribosomal RNA is filed under the name uncultured bacterium. RNAcentral describes it as "bacterial SSU rRNA". It matches the Rfam family "Bacterial small subunit ribosomal RNA", at positions 19 to 518 of the family's 1533-position model. The record is from RNAcentral.